RNAcentral lists this ribosomal RNA (300 nucleotides) under Triticum aestivum (bread wheat). RNAcentral describes it as "partial small subunit ribosomal RNA". Lineage: Eukaryota; Viridiplantae; Streptophyta; Magnoliopsida; Poales; Poaceae. The record is from RNAcentral.
AUGCGUCGCCGGCGCCUCUACCCCGCACGCAGCACCUCCGCCUCUUCCUCUCGCGUCGUCGCCGCCUUUCCAUGUUGCCAUACGCCGUCGCCUCUCCCUUUUCAAGAUUUAAUAUUUACUCCGGCGGCUGGAUCUAAAGCGCAGCUGCUCCACCUUCCUCAGGGUGGCGGGGAUCUCCGGCGGCUGGAUCUGAAGCGCGGCUGCUCCACCUUCCUCAGGGUGGCGGGGAUCUCCGGCUUGCUGCGCAGGGGGAGGGAACGACCGCCGGCAGCCGCUGCGGGCAGAAGGGGAACUGCGUAG